GACUCCUUCGGGUUAUAUGGUCAAGCGAUGAAGCGCACACGGUGGAUGCCUAGGCAGCCAGAGGCGAUGAAGGACGUGGAAGCCUGCGAUAAGGCUCG
RNAcentral lists this ribosomal RNA (98 nucleotides) under Halomonas elongata. RNAcentral describes it as "partial 23S ribosomal RNA". The stretch from base 19 to 98 matches the Rfam family "Bacterial large subunit ribosomal RNA", at positions 1 to 80 of the family's 2925-position model. The record is from RNAcentral. Lineage: Bacteria; Pseudomonadati; Pseudomonadota; Gammaproteobacteria; Oceanospirillales; Halomonadaceae.